GACGAACGCUGGCGGCGUGCCUAAUACAUGCAAGUAGGACGCACAGUUUAUACCGUAGCUUGCUACACCAUAGACUGUGAGUUGCGAACGGGUGAGUAACGCGUAGGUAACCUGCCUAUUAGAGGGGGAUAACUAUUGGAAACGAUAGCUAAUACCGCAUAACAGUAUGUAACACAUGUUAGAUGCUUGAAAGAUGCAAUUGCAUCGCUAGUAGAUGGACCUGCGUUGUAUUAGCUAGUAGGUAGGGUAAAGGCCUACCUAGGCAACGAUACAUAGCCGACCUGAGAGGGUGAUCGGCCACACUGGGACUGAGACACGGCCCAGACUCCUACGGGAGGCAGCAGUAGGGAAUCUUCGGCAAUGGGGGGAACCCUGACCGAGCAACGCCGCGUGAGUGAAGAAGGUUUUCGGAUCGUAAAGCUCUGUUGUUAAGGAAGAACGAGUGUGAGAAUGGAAAGUUCAUACUGGC
RNAcentral lists this ribosomal RNA (469 nucleotides) under Streptococcus anginosus. RNAcentral describes it as "bacterial SSU rRNA". It matches the Rfam family "Bacterial small subunit ribosomal RNA", at positions 28 to 473 of the family's 1533-position model. Lineage: Bacteria; Bacillati; Bacillota; Bacilli; Lactobacillales; Streptococcaceae. The record is from RNAcentral.